This 253-nucleotide ribosomal RNA is filed under the name uncultured bacterium. Its description in RNAcentral is "partial 16S ribosomal RNA". It matches the Rfam family "Bacterial small subunit ribosomal RNA", at positions 524 to 776 of the family's 1533-position model. The record is from RNAcentral.
UACGUAGGGUGCAAGCGUUAAUCGGAAUUCCUGGGCGUAAAGCGUGCGCAGGCGGCUUUGCAAGACAGAUGUGAAAUCCCCGGGCUUAACCUGGGAACUGCAUUUGUGACUGCAUGGCUGGAGUGCGGCAGAGGGGGAUGGAAUUCCGCGUGUAGCAGUGAAAUGCGUAGAUAUGCGGAGGAACACCGAUGGCGAAGGCAAUCCCCUGGGCCUGCACUGACGCUCAUGCACGAAAGCGUGGGGAGCAAACAGG